GCGGGUGUAGUUCAGUGGUAGAACGUCUCGUUGCCAACGAGAAGGUCGUGGGUUCAAGUCCCAUCGCCCGCU
The sequence is a transfer RNA, 72 nucleotides long. It matches the Rfam family "tRNA". Rfam says of the family: Transfer RNA (tRNA) molecules are approximately 80 nucleotides in length. Their secondary structure includes four short double-helical elements and three loops (D, anti-codon, and T loops). Further hydrogen bonds mediate the characteristic L-shaped molecular structure. tRNAs have two regions of fundamental functional importance: the anti-codon, which is responsible for specific mRNA codon recognition, and the 3' end, to which the tRNAs corresponding amino acid is attached (by aminoacyl-tRNA synthetases). tRNAs cope with the degeneracy of the genetic code in two manners: having more than one tRNA (with a specific anti-codon) for a particular amino acid; and 'wobble' base-pairing, i.e. permitting non-standard base-pairing at the 3rd anti-codon position. The record is from Rfam.